This 378-nucleotide ribosomal RNA is filed under the name uncultured Streptococcus sp. RNAcentral describes it as "bacterial SSU rRNA". It matches the Rfam family "Bacterial small subunit ribosomal RNA", at positions 1003 to 1382 of the family's 1533-position model. The record is from RNAcentral. Lineage: Bacteria; Bacillati; Bacillota; Bacilli; Lactobacillales; Streptococcaceae.
GAGAUAGAAAGUUACUUCGGUACAUCGGUGACAGGUGGUGGCGAUGGUUGUCGUCAGCUCGUGUCGUGAGAUGUUGGUUAAGUCCCGCAACGAGCGCAACCCCUAUUGUUAGUUGCCAUCAUUCAGUUGGGCACUCUAGCGAGACUGCCGGUAAUAAACCGGAGGAAGGUGGGGAUGACGUCAAAUCAUCAUGCCCCUUAUGACCUGGGCUACACACGUGCUACAAUGGUUGGUACAACGAGUUGCGAGUCGGUGACGGCGAGCUAAUCUCUUAAAGCCAAUCUCAGUUCGGAUUGUAGGCUGCAACUCGCCUACAUGAAGUCGGAAUCGCUAGUAAUCGCGGAUCAGCACGCCGCGGUGAAUACGUUCCCGGGCCUU